GACGAACGCUGGCGGCGUGCCUAAUACAUGCAAGUAGAACGCUGAAGGAGGAGCUUGCUCUUCUGGAUGAGUUGCGAACGGGUGAGUAACGCGUAGGUAACCUGCCUGGUAGCGGGGGAUAACUAUUGGAAACGAUAGCUAAUACCGCAUAACAGUAGAUGUUGCAUGACAUUUGCUUAAAAGGUGCAAUUGCACCACUACCAGAUGGACCUGCGUUGUAUUAGCUAGUUGGUGGGGUAACGGCUCACCAAGGCGACGAUACAUAGCCGACCUGAGAGGGAGAUCGGCCACACUGGGACUGAGACACGGCCCAGACUCCUACGGGAGGCAGCAGUAGGGAAUCUUCGGCAAUGGACGGAAGUCUGACCGAGCAACGCCGCGUGAGUGAAGAAGGUUUUCGGAUCGUAAAGCUCUGUUGUAAGAGAAGAACGAGUGUGAGAGUGGAAAGUUCACACUGUGACGGUAUCUUACCAGAAAGGGACGGCUAACUACGUG
This 495-nucleotide ribosomal RNA is filed under the name uncultured bacterium. RNAcentral describes it as "partial 16S ribosomal RNA". It matches the Rfam family "Bacterial small subunit ribosomal RNA", at positions 28 to 507 of the family's 1533-position model. The record is from RNAcentral.